GCAAGUCGAGCGGAAACGAGUUAUCUGAACCUUCGGGGAACGAUAACGGCGUCGAGCGGCGGACGGGUGAGUAAUGCCUAGGAAAUUGCCCUGAUGUGGGGGAUAACCAUUGGAAACGAUGGCUAAUACCGCAUGAUGCCUACGGGCCAAAGAGGGGGACCUUCGGGCCUCUCGCGUCAGGAUAUGCCUAGGUGGGAUUAGCUAGUUGGUGAGGUAAGGGCUCACCAAGGCGACGAUCCCUAGCUGGUCUGAGAGGAUGAUCAGCCACACUGGAACUGAGACACGGUCCAGACUCCUACGGGAGGCAGCAGUGGGGAAUAUUGCACAAUGGGCGCAAGCCUGAUGCAGCCAUGCCGCGUGUGUGAAGAAGGCCUUCGGGUUGUAAAGCACUUUCAGUCGUGAGGAAGGUGGUGUAGUUAAUAGCUGCAUUAUUUGACGUUAGCGACAGAAGAAGCACCGGCUAACUCCGUGCCAGCAGCCGCGGUAAUACGGAGGGUGCGAGCGUUAAUCGGAAUUACUGGGCGUAAAGCGCAUGCAGGUGGUUUGUUAAGUCAGAUGUGAAAGCCCGGGGCUCAACCUCGGAAUAGCAUUUGAAACUGGCAGACUAGAGUACUGUAGAGGGGGGUAGAAUUUCAGGUGUAGCGGUGAAAUGCGUAGAGAUCUGAAGGAAUACCGGUGGCGAAGGCGGCCCCCUGGACAGAUACUGACACUCAGAUGCGAAAGC
Molecule: ribosomal RNA, 724 nt
Filed under: uncultured bacterium
Lineage: Bacteria
Description: bacterial SSU rRNA
Rfam family: Bacterial small subunit ribosomal RNA
Source: RNAcentral